AAGUCAUAUGCUUGUCUUAAAGAUUAAGCCAUGCAUGUCUAAGUAUAAAUAGUAUACAGUGAAACUGCGAAUGGCUCAUUAAAACAGUUAUAGUUUAUUUGAUAGUGCAAUUACAUGGAUAACCGUGGUAAUUCUAGAGCUAAUACAUGCGCAAAUACCGGACGCAAGAAUGGUAGCAUUUAUUAGAUUUAACCAUCACAUGGUGAAUCAUAGUAACUUAGCUGACCGCGUGUAUACGUGGUAAAUCAUUCAAGUUUCUGCCCUAUCAGCUUUCGAUGGUAGUGUAUUGGACUACCAUGGCAGUCACGGGUAACGGAGAAUUAGGGUUCGAUUCCGGAGAGGGAGCCUGAGAAACGGCUACCACAUCUAAGGAAGGCAGCAGGCGCGUAAAUUACCCAAUCCCGAUUCGGGGAGGUAGUGACAAGAAAUAGCAACUCGAGCGGGUUUCCGUUACGGGAUUGCAAUGAGAUAAGUCCAAAUCCGUAAACGAUUAACAAUUGGAGGGCAAGUCUGGUGCCAGCAGCCGCGGUAAUUCCAGCUCCAAUAGCGUAUACUUAAGUUGUUGCAGUUAAAAAGCUCGUAGUUGAAAUUCGAGUCAGUUACUAGUUGGCUUUAGUCAAUUAGUCAAUUGAUUCUCCGUCUACAAUCCCUUUUGCGCUUUAGGGUUGCAGCUGGGCGAGUAGACAAUUUACCUUGAAAAAAUUAGAGUGUUCCAGGCAGGUCUUCGCCGGAAUACAUUAGCAUGGAAUAAUGGAAUAGGACUUGGGUCUUUUGUUGGUUUUAGGAUCUAAGUAAUGAUUAAUAGGGACAGAUGGGGGCAUUAGUAUUUAAUUGUCAGAGGUGAAAUUCUUGGAUUUAUUAAAGACUAACUUAUGCGAAAGCAUUUGCCAAGGAUGUUUUCAUUAAUCAAGAACGAAAGUUAGGGGAUCAAAGACGAUCAGAUACCGUCGUAGUCUUAACUAUAAACUAUACCGACUCGAGAUCGGAAGGGUAAUAUAUUAGUCCCUUUCGGCAUCGUAAGAGAAAUCAAAGUCUUUGGGUUCUGGGGGGAGUAUGGUCGCAAGGCUGAAACUUAAAGGAAUUGACGGAAGGGCACCACCAGGAGUGGAGCCUGCGGCUUAAUUUGACUCAACACGGGGAAACUUACCAGGUCAAAACAUGGAUGGGAUUGACAGAUUGAAAGCUCUUUCUUGAUUCUAUGGGUGGUGGUGCAUGGCCGUUCUUAGUUGGUGGAGUGAUUUGUCUGGUUAAUUCCGAUAACGAACGAGACCUUAACCUGCUAACUAGUUUGCUUCUGAACAAGAGGUAUAACUUCUUAGAGGGACUAUGUAUGUAAGUGCAUGGAAGUUUAAGGCAAUAACAGGUCUGUGAUGCCCCUAGACGUCCUGGGCCGCACGCGCGCUACACUGACACGUUCAGCGAGCUUAUUUACCUGUCCCGAAAGGGCACGGGAAAUCUUGUUAGGACGUGUCGUGCUGGGGAUAGAUCUUUGCAAUUAUAGAUCUUGAACGAGGAAUUCCUUGUAAGCACAGGUCAUCAGCCUGUGCUGAAUACGUCCCUGCCCUUUGUACACACCGCCCGUCGCUCCUACCGAUUUCGAGUGAUGUGGUGAACUAUCUGGACUGCGAGUGGGCUCGAACCAUUUGCGGGAAGUUUCGUAAACCUUAUCACUUAGAGGAAGGAGAAGUCGUAACAAGGUUUCCGUAGGU
RNAcentral lists this ribosomal RNA (1709 nucleotides) under Paramecium schewiakoffi. Its description in RNAcentral is "SSU rRNA". It matches the Rfam family "Eukaryotic small subunit ribosomal RNA". Lineage: Eukaryota; Ciliophora; Oligohymenophorea; Peniculida; Parameciidae. The record is from RNAcentral.